AGUGAACGCUGGCGGUAGGCCUAACACAUGCAAGUCGAACGGCAGCACAGUAAGAGCUUGCUCUUACGGGUGGCGAGUGGCGGACGGGUGAGGAAUACAUCGGAAUCUACUUUUUCGUGGGGGAUAACGUAGGGAAACUUACGCUAAUACCGCAUACGACCUACGGGUGAAAGCAGGGGAUCUUCGGACCUUGCGCGAUUGAAUGAGCCGAUGUCGGAUUAGCUAGUUGGUGGGGUAAAGGCCCACCAAGGCGACGAUCCGUAGCUGGUCUGAGAGGAUGAUCAGCCACACUGGAACUGAGACACGGUCCAGACUCCUACGGGAGGCAGCAGUGGGGAAUAUUGGACAAUGGGCGCAAGCCUGAUCCAGCCAUACCGCGUGGGUGAAGAAGGCCUUCGGGUUGUAAAGCCCUUUUGUUGGGAAAGAAAAGCAGCAGGUUAAUACCCCGCUGUUCCGACGGUACCCAAAGAAUAAGCACCGGCUAACUUCGUG
This 492-nucleotide ribosomal RNA is filed under the name uncultured bacterium. RNAcentral's name for it is "partial 16S ribosomal RNA". It matches the Rfam family "Bacterial small subunit ribosomal RNA", at positions 29 to 507 of the family's 1533-position model. The record is from RNAcentral.